RNAcentral lists this long non-coding RNA (1048 nucleotides) under Mustela putorius furo (domestic ferret). RNAcentral describes it as "lncRNA (ENSMPUG00000026612.1)". Lineage: Eukaryota; Metazoa; Chordata; Mammalia; Carnivora; Mustelidae. The record is from RNAcentral.
NNNNNNNNCCGAUGGCGUGCCCUGGGCCGGGCAGCGAGGCCGGGCUCGAGUCCCCGCGCGGCCCCGGCCUGACCCGAGCCCGCAGAAGCGCAGCCCGAGCCCGGCGGUCCGAGGACCUGGCUGCGGGGCUGUCCAGGCGUCCCGGAGGGCUCUUCUCCCAGCACCUGGCGGCUCUGAUGGACGGAGGGGGCCAGCCGGACGGUCGGGGACCCGGGAUCCGGGCGCAGCAGCCCACCUCCUGUUCUAGGCUUCCCGGCUCGGUGCAGUCCGAGGCUGUGGAGGGCAGAAUUCCUGCAGGAUUUAUUUUUGCCACUUCCUCUAGGAGCUAGAAGUUGGCCAAGUGUUGAAUUGUGUGCCUCUCGGGCAUGCACCGCUGAACAAAACUUGUUGGCGCCUAUGAAACAAUGCCGCCUCCAACGCCUGGAGUGACGGGGACGCAGCCGAGCGGCCUUCCUCAGCACCGUCCCCUCCUCUGCGGGCUCUGAAUUCGAGUGCCCCCACCUGCCAGACCCGCUUAAGCGAGUUAUGUCCCUGUGCUGCCCUGUUUCUGGCUGGGAGACACAGGAGAUGCGAGCCGUUCCUCACAGAGCCAGUAUUCGCCCCUCCUGGAAUGUGGUCAGGGCACCAGACGGGACCCAGCGAUGAGUGGGCAGAUGGACAGAUGUCUGCAAAUCCACCAGGGAUGGAAACAAGCCACGGACUCCAUGCCGGAUGGGUCCAUACUGGCCUACACAUCCCAAAUAAUCCCAUCCAUGCACAGAACGUCCACAUAAGACAGGAUGAAGAAGGAUUGUCCCCAGGCAGCUCUGCCAUCAGCUCUGCAAACACCCCUGGAGCUAGAAAAAAAUGCAAGGUUCCAGCAAUUUUCCUAGGCAGUUCAGAGAGAAGAUUCAAAAAAAGGAAGCUUACAUUACUAUCACAUGAAAUAUGUGGUCAAAACAACCAGAGUAAUAGCUUGAGGAAGAAAAACAAAACUUCAAGGAAGAAAAUACAAGUGAAGAGAAAAAAUGCAGCCCUGCUGUCGUUUAAGAGCACUGCUGUGGAUUGA